GACGAACGCUGGCGGCGUGCUUAACACAUGCAAGUCGAACGGAAAGGCCCUGCUUUUGUGGGGUGCUCGAGUGGCGAACGGGUGAGUAACACGUGAGUAACCUGCCCUUGACUUUGGGAUAACUUCAGGAAACUGGGGCUAAUACUGGAUAGGAGCUCCUGCUGCAUGGUGGGGGUUGGAAAGUUUCGGCGGUUGGGGAUGGACUCGCGGCUUAUCAGCUUGUUGGUGGGGUAGUGGCUUACCAAGGCUUUGACGGGUAUCCGGCCUGAGAGGGUGACCGGCCACAUUGGGACUGAGAUACGGCCCAGACUCCUACGGGAGGCAGCAGUGGGGAAUAUUGCACAAUGGGCGGAAGCCUGAUGCAGCAACGCCGCGUGCGGGAUGACGGCCUUCGGGUUGUAAACCGCUUUCGCCUGUGACGAAGCGUGAGUGACGGUAAUGGGUAAAGAAGCACCGGCUAACUACGUG
This 468-nucleotide ribosomal RNA is filed under the name uncultured bacterium. RNAcentral's name for it is "partial 16S ribosomal RNA". It matches the Rfam family "Bacterial small subunit ribosomal RNA", at positions 28 to 507 of the family's 1533-position model. The record is from RNAcentral.